RNAcentral lists this ribosomal RNA (398 nucleotides) under uncultured bacterium. Its description in RNAcentral is "bacterial SSU rRNA". It matches the Rfam family "Bacterial small subunit ribosomal RNA", at positions 105 to 499 of the family's 1533-position model. The record is from RNAcentral.
GGUGAGUAAUAUAUCGGAACGUGCCCAGUAGUGGGGGAUAACUGCUCGAAAGAGCAGCUAAUACCGCAUACGACCUGAGGGUGAAAGGGGGGGAUCGCAAGACCUCUCGCUAUUGGAGCGGCCGAUAUCAGAUUAGCUAGUUGGUGGGGUAAAGGCCUACCAAGGCAACGAUCUGUAGUUGGUCUGAGAGGACGACCAGCCACACUGGGACUGAGACACGGCCCAGACUCCUACGGGAGGCAGCAGUGGGGAAUUUUGGACAAUGGGCGCAAGCCUGAUCCAGCAAUGCCGCGUGCAGGAUGAAGGCCUUCGGGUUGUAAACUGCUUUUGUACGGAGCGAAAAGGCUCUCUCUAAUACAGGGGGCUCAUGACGGUACCGUAAGAAUAAGCACCGGCUA